UAGCUAAUACCGCAUAAUAUUAAUUAUUGCAUGAUAAUUGAUUGAAAGAUGCAAGCGCAUCACUAGUAGAUGGACCUGCGUUGUAUUAGCUAGUUGGUAAGGUAAGAGCUUACCAAGGCGACGAUACAUAGCCGACCUGAGAGGGUGAUCGGCCACACUGGGACUGAGACACGGCCCAGACUCCUACGGGAGGCAGCAGUAGGGAAUCUUCGGCAAUGGACGAAAGUCUGACCGAGCAACGCCGCGUGAGUGAAGAAGGUUUUCGGAUCGUAAAGCUCUGUUGUAAGUCAAGAACGUGUGUGAGAGUGGAAAGUUCACACAGUGACGGUAGCUUACCAGAAAGGGACGGCUAACUACGUGCCAGCAGCCGCGGUAAUACGUAGGUCCCGAGCGUUGUCCGGAUUUAUUGGGCGUAAAGGGAGCGCAGGCGGUCAGGAAAGUCUGGAGUAAAAGGCUAUGGCUCAACCAUAGUGUGCUCUGGAAACUGUCUGACUUGAGUGCAGAAGGGGAGAGUGGAAUUCCAUGUGUAGCGGUGAAAUGCGUAGAUAUAUGGAGGAACACCAGUGGCGAAAGCGGCUCUCUGGUCUGUCACUGACGCUGAGGCUCGAAAGCGUGGGUAGCGAACAGGAUUAGAUACCCUGGUAGUCCACGCCGUAAACGAUGAGUGCUAGGUGUUAGGCCCUUUCCGGGGCUUAGUGCCGGAGCUAACGCAAUAAGCACUCCGCCUGGGGAGUACGACCGCAAGGUUGAAACUCAAAGGAAUUGACGGGGGCCCGCACAAGCGGUGGAGCAUGUGGUUUAAUUCGAAGCAACGCGAAGAACCUUACCAGGUCUUGACAUCCCGAUGCUAUUCUUAGAGAUAGGAAGUUACUUCGGUACAUCGGAGACAGGUGGUGCAUGGUUGUCGUCAGCUCGUGUCGUGAGAUGUUGGGUUAAGUCCCGCAACGAGCGCAACCCUUAUUGUUAGUUGCCAUCAUUAAGUUGGGCACUCUAGCGAGACUGCCGGUAAUAAACCGGAGGAAGGUGGGGAUGACGUCAAAUCAUCAUGCCCCUUAUGACCUGGGCUACACACGUGCUACAAUGGUCGGUACAACGAGUUGCGAGCCGGUGACGGCAAGCUAAUCUCUGAAAGCCGAUCUCAGUUCGGAUUGGAGGCUGCAACUCGCCUCCAUGAAGUCGGAAUCGCUAGUAAUCGCGGAUCAGCACGCCGCGGUGAAUACGUUCCCGGGCCUUGUACACACCGCCCGUCACACCACGAGAGUUUGUAAC
Molecule: ribosomal RNA, 1269 nt
Filed under: Streptococcus mutans
Lineage: Bacteria; Bacillati; Bacillota; Bacilli; Lactobacillales; Streptococcaceae
Description: 16S ribosomal RNA
Rfam family: Bacterial small subunit ribosomal RNA
Source: RNAcentral